Molecule: long non-coding RNA, 258 nt
Filed under: Vigna radiata
Lineage: Eukaryota; Viridiplantae; Streptophyta; Magnoliopsida; Fabales; Fabaceae
Description: long non-coding RNA (VRAD_LNC016564)
Source: RNAcentral
GGAGUGGGUUUUUAAAAAGUUGAAAGAAAAUAGGAUGGUGAAGAUCGAGGCACCAUACAGUGGACAUAACGAGAGAGUGGAUAGAAGAAAGUUGAGCAGGUGGGACGAUGAAGAUCUCAAUGUGAAGAAGAGUUGAUAUGCUAGAGAGCACUUUUUGUAUUUUAGAACAUUUUUAUUUUUAUUUUUAUUUUUAUUUUUUUUGGACCUGUGAAUUUUAAAUUUUUGAACAUUUUUUGGGUAGCAUAUACUGAGGGAUGC